RNAcentral lists this ribosomal RNA (253 nucleotides) under uncultured bacterium. Its description in RNAcentral is "partial 16S ribosomal RNA". It matches the Rfam family "Bacterial small subunit ribosomal RNA", at positions 524 to 776 of the family's 1533-position model. The record is from RNAcentral.
GACGUAGGGCGCGAGCGUUGUCCGGAUUUAUUGGGCGUAAAGAGCUCGUAGGCGGCUCGUCGCGUCGACUGUGAAAACCCGGGGCUCAACCCCGGGCCUGCAGUCGAUACGGGCAGGCUAGAGUCCGGUAGGGGAGACUGGAAUUCCUGGUGUAGCGGUGAAAUGCGCAGAUAUCAGGAGGAACACCGGUGGCGAAGGCGGGUCUCUGGGCCGGAACUGACGCUGAGGAGCGAAAGCGUGGGGAGCGAACAGG